This 76-nucleotide transfer RNA is filed under the name Opitutia bacterium AMD-G1. RNAcentral describes it as "Opitutae bacterium AMD-G1 tRNA-Pro". It matches the Rfam family "tRNA". From Rfam's summary of the family: Transfer RNA (tRNA) molecules are approximately 80 nucleotides in length. Their secondary structure includes four short double-helical elements and three loops (D, anti-codon, and T loops). Further hydrogen bonds mediate the characteristic L-shaped molecular structure. tRNAs have two regions of fundamental functional importance: the anti-codon, which is responsible for specific mRNA codon recognition, and the 3' end, to which the tRNAs corresponding amino acid is attached (by aminoacyl-tRNA synthetases). tRNAs cope with the degeneracy of the genetic code in two manners: having more than one tRNA (with a specific anti-codon) for a particular amino acid; and 'wobble' base-pairing, i.e. permitting non-standard base-pairing at the 3rd anti-codon position. RNAcentral also lists the same sequence under 6 other names. Lineage: Bacteria; Pseudomonadati; Verrucomicrobiota; Opitutia. The record is from RNAcentral.
CGGGCAGUAUCUCAAUUGGUAGAGUCCCUGCUUUGGGAGCAGGGUGUUGCAGGUUCAAGUCCUGUCUGCCCGACCA